GUUUAUCAAAAACAUAACCAUAUGAUAUAAUAUAUGGCUAUUUCUGCUCAAUGCUUAAGUAAAUAGCCGCAGUACUGUGACUGUGCGAAGGUAGCAUAAUCAUUUGGCUUUUGAAUGGAGUCUAGUAUGAAGGAAAAAUUGGAAAGGUACUCUCUUCUUAACUUUUAUGAAUUUACUUAUUAAGUGCAAAAACUUUUAACUAAAAAACAGACGAGAAGACCCUAGAAAUUUUUUAACUAUUUUGUUGGGGCGACAAUGUAACAAUGUAGGAUAACUUACUAUUGUAAAUCAGCAGUGUAAUGCACGGUGAAAUCAAAUUACUCUAGGGAUAACAGCAUAAUAUUCUAAAGUUUGUGACCUCGAUGUUGGACUAGGAAAAGGUUAAGUUUAAAAGAUUUAGCCUCAGCUCUGUUCGAGCAUUUCUUUCCUACCUGAUCUGGAUUCAGACCGG
This 451-nucleotide ribosomal RNA is filed under the name Praticolella jejuna. Its description in RNAcentral is "partial 16S ribosomal RNA". It matches the Rfam family "Archaeal large subunit ribosomal RNA", at positions 1894 to 2688 of the family's 2987-position model. Lineage: Eukaryota; Metazoa; Mollusca; Gastropoda; Stylommatophora; Polygyridae. The record is from RNAcentral.